CAGGGAAUAUUGCACAAUGGGGGAAACCCUGAUGCAGCGACGCCGCGUGAAGGAAGAAGUAUCUCGGUAUGUAAACUUCUAUCAGCAGGGAAGAAAAUGACGGUACCUGACUAAGAAGCCCCGGCUAACUACGUGCCAGCAGCCGCGGUAAUACGUAGGGGGCGAAGCGUUAUCCGGAUUUACUGGGUGUAAAGGGAGCGUAGACGGAAGAGCAAGUCUGAUGUGAAAGGCUGGGGCUUAACCCCGGGACUGCUUUGGAAACUGUAAUUUCUAGAGUGCAGGAGGGGCAAGCGGAAUUCCUAGUGUAGCGGUGAAAUGCGUAGAUAUUAGGAGGAACACCAGUGGCGAAGGCGGCUUACUGGACGACAACUGACGCUGAGGCUCGAAAGCGUGGGGAGCAAACAGGAUUAGAUACCCUGGUAGUA
Molecule: ribosomal RNA, 425 nt
Filed under: uncultured Blautia sp.
Lineage: Bacteria; Bacillati; Bacillota; Clostridia; Lachnospirales; Lachnospiraceae
Description: bacterial SSU rRNA
Rfam family: Bacterial small subunit ribosomal RNA
Source: RNAcentral